Long non-coding RNA from Gossypium arboreum, 466 nucleotides. RefSeq lists it as uncharacterized. The record is from RefSeq and is a predicted model, not a curated record. The transcript is spliced from 3 exons. NCBI's taxonomy places the organism in Eukaryota, Viridiplantae, Streptophyta, Magnoliopsida, Malvales, Malvaceae.
AGAAACAAAGAAGAAAAAGGGGAAGAAAAAUUUGUUGCUCAUCCAUGGGUGCCUUGGCCGAAUAGAAGAAAGGAAAUUGAAAAAAAAAAAAAAUAUUGGCUCAUCUUCCUCCUAGCUUAGCCGAUCCUUCAAGAAGAAAAGGGAAGACUUAGCAUUCGGUCACUUGAGCUUGAACUAAGCUCAAGAGCAAAGGGAAACUAGAUUGGACAAAGGAAAGGAGAAAGCAAACGAGUAGCCGAUUUGGAACCAUUCUACCCCAAACAAGGUCUCUCGGACUCUUAUUGUUUGCGUGAUCGGGACCGUCGUUGAAGUCAUCACACCGGCUGAAAUCUUGUGGUAUUGUUUUCGUUGUUGAAGAACAUUUGGCAUGUAUAGGCUAUUAUAUUUUGUCGAAUUGAGGGUUGUAAACUUUAAGCCAUGUGAAAAUGGCCUAUGUGGUCGCCGAGUGGGAUGCUAGAACUUAUAG